RNAcentral lists this ribosomal RNA (253 nucleotides) under uncultured bacterium. RNAcentral describes it as "partial 16S ribosomal RNA". It matches the Rfam family "Bacterial small subunit ribosomal RNA", at positions 524 to 776 of the family's 1533-position model. The record is from RNAcentral.
UACGUAGGGGGCAAGCGUUGUCCGGAAUCAUUGGGCGUAAAGCGCGUGUAGGCGGCCAGGUAGGUCCGCUGUGAAAACCCGAGGCUCAACCUCGGGACGUCGGCGGAAACCAUUUGGCUAGAGUCCGGAAGAGGAGAGUGGAAUUCCCGGUGUAGCGGUGAAAUGCGCAGAUAUCGGGAAGAACACCCGUGGCGAAGGCGGCUCUCUGGGACGGUACUGACGCUGAGACGCGAAAGCGUGGGGAGCGAACAGG